Molecule: long non-coding RNA, 2471 nt
Organism: Nyctereutes procyonoides (raccoon dog)
Lineage: Eukaryota; Metazoa; Chordata; Mammalia; Carnivora; Canidae
Exons: 3
Source: RefSeq, a predicted model, not a curated record
CGCUCUUCCUCCUGGAGUGGAUUCCUUGUUUUUUUGUUUGUUUUUUAGAAGAACCAUUUUUUUUUAAGAUUUUAUUUUUAAAUAAUCUCUACACCCAACAUGGAGCUCGAACUCCCGACUUUGAGAUCAAGACUCGAAUGCUCCAUCGGCUGAGCCAGCUAAGUGCCCCAACAAUGCCAUUUUUUUGGGGGGGGGAUUUAUUUAUUUAUUCAUGAGAAACACAGACAGAGAGAGAGAGAGGCAGAGACCCAGGCAGAGGGAGAAGCAGGCCCCAUGCAGGGAGCCUGACAUGGGACUCGAUCCCGGGACCCCAGGGUCACGCCCUGGGUGGAAGGGGCAGGCGCUGAACCGCUGAGCCAGCCAGGGAUCCCCAACAAUGCCAAUUUUAAAUAAGACCGUAAUCAUCUCAAAGGCCAGAUCACUUAGUUUUCUUCAUUUAUACAUCAACGACAACCUUAUUUUCUUAAUAGUUUUCUAUUUACAUUCAUAUCAAACAUUAGAUACAGGGCAUAUUCUUAAAGUACAAUGCCAGUUUAUAGGAAGGUAUGGUCUGAAACAGUGAGGCCCACCCAGCCUGUUACUUUAGAGUGUAUAUUGAAAUUUAAAAGAAUUCCAUAAUAUUCUGGGAUGUCAAAAUUAGAGUUCAGCCACUGUUCUCCCAAUACGUAAGUUCUACUCACCCUUAAAACAUGUUGGUAAGAGAUGUAAAAAGCUCAUCCCAUUUCAGUAAUUCUUUAAAACGCCAAACUCUUAAAUAAUGGGGUUUUCCUUAUGUAAACUCAGUGGGGACUCCCUGUCCCUAAUCGCCACCCCCCAUGACUUCAUAAGGCUCCUGAUGUGAUUGAAAUGGUGUUUCUUCAGGAGCUCAUUGGAAUCAGGGUACAGAACUAAGUAUUAAAAAGUCAAAUAGCUUUGUAAGCCUUAAAAAGCAUACCAGCCGACCUCGGAUCUUAUCCUCCCUAUGCCUGGUUAUCAGUCCCCAGAAUGACUAUUUUCAACAUUUUCCAGUUGUUUUUUCCAAUGAUUUUUUUUCUCUCUUUCUACAUUACAGGCUUUUUCUAGAGUGUCUUGAUAUCCUCAGUUAUAGAUAGUAUCUGUUGCUUGGAAAAUGAGGGUUUAGGUCUCCUACAGACUACUCUCCAAAAUAACCUUUCCUUCCACAUUGAUAAUAGGUAUAUUAGAAAUAGUUAUUUAUCACAGUAUAUUAAAAAUAGUUAAUUGUCACAAUUUAUAGUAUAUUAAUGUUUACAUUUCUAUUACAAAGUACAUUACAUAAUCACACAAUACAUAAACAGAGUCACAGUUACACAAUAGUCACAUUAUUACUUUUUAAAAGAUUUUAUUUAUUUAUUUGAUCAACAGCACCAGCAAGGGAAGCAGCAGAGGGAGAGGGAGAAAUAGGCUCCCCAGUGAACAGGGCGCCCACCUUGGGAUUGGAUCCCAGGACCCUGAGAUCAUGACCUGAGCCACCCAAGUGCCCCCAAUAGUUACAUUAUUGCACACGUUGCAAUAGUACUGCUUAUCAAGAAUAGGAAAUUUUACCAGUGGUUGGUUGGUUGUGCCUUCUUCAAGGACUCAAAUUAUCUGCUCAGAGGAGGGAGUCUUUUUUAAAAUUGUAAUUCCAGAGGGAGUGAUUAAGGUUUUCUGGGUGAUGGGCAUCCUUUUUAACCAAGUAAGACAAAGCAAAGCAAUAUUUCUUUAUUUCUCUUCCCCUCCCCUUUUUUAAAAAUCAGAAAUAAUAUUCUCUUUUUGUUUCCUGGGUUCAUAAUUUAUAUCUCGGAGGACAUUAAUCACAGUUGUUUAUUUUUUAGUUAUUGUUGUGGGUUUCUUCUUGAAUUGUUUCAAGUUUUGUUGUGUUUUUAUCAUUUGAUUUGUUUUCUGCCAUGGUACUAGUGUUUUUCCCAAGCUAUUUUUGCAUUUGCAGUGAAACAAAAAAAUUUUUUUUGAAAGUUCUUUGAGUAUGGGUGUGGCCUGUCACAUAGUUUCACUGUAGGGUUUUCUUUUAUUUCACUGAGGGUAAAAAAAAAAAAAACCAUUUAUUAUCAUCCAUAAGUAAUUUCUCUUAAGCCUAGUCAGUUACCCUGUGAGGAAACUUCCAGAUUCCCACCUGUGAGUUACAAGCCUUACUGCAAGUUUUCUGUGACUGAGGAGGGAAGGAGGCUGGAUAUCUCAUUAUUUGCUCAUGCAGAUCUGCAGAAGGAAGCAGGAGAGGUGGAUCCAGUGCUGUCCCAACUGAGUACAAAGGAGGGCAGUACCUACCUGUAAUUGGUGACAUCUCUGGUCUUGCUGGAAAAGCAUGAAAAAGAAGAUCAAGGCGAUGUCAAAACUGCCUAAGAUAGUAGGUGACCUUAAAAAAAAAAAAAAAAGAUAGUAGGGGACCUUCAGUGUUGGCUUCUUGCAUAAUCCAGAGAAACAGACCUGCUCAGUGGGAUGGACAGCAAUCCCAGUCCUGCUUCCUGCCACUCACACAU